Molecule: ribosomal RNA, 189 nt
Filed under: uncultured fungus
Lineage: Eukaryota; Fungi
Description: partial 28S ribosomal RNA
Rfam family: Eukaryotic large subunit ribosomal RNA
Source: RNAcentral
AUCAUUAAUGUGACCUCAAAUCAGGUAGGACUACCCGNUGAACUUAAGCAUAUCAAUAAGCGGAGGAAAAGAAACUAACAAGGAUUCCCCUAGUAACUGCGAGUGAAGCGGGAAAAGCUCAAAUUUAAAAUAUCUGGCGGUGCUUUUGGCUGNCCGAGUUGUAAUUCUAGAGAAGUGCUAUUCCUGCGG